CGCGGGGGCAACCCUGGCGGCGAGCGGCGAACGGGUGAGUAACACAUCGGAACGUGUCCCGUAGUGGGGGAUAGCCCGGCGAAAGCCGGAUUAAUACCGCAUAUGCUCUACGGAGGAAAGCGGGGGAUUCGCAAGAACCUCGCGCUAUGGGAGCGGCCGAUGUCCGAUUAGCUUGUUGGUGAGGUAAAGGCUCACCAAGGCGACGAUCGGUAGCUGGUCUGAGAGGAUGAUCAGCCACACUGGGACUGAGACACGGCCCAGACUCCUACGGGAGGCAGCAGUGGGGAAUUUUGGACAAUGGGGGAAACCCUGAUCCAGCCAUGCCGCGUGAGUGAAGAAGGCCUUCGGG
Molecule: ribosomal RNA, 349 nt
Filed under: uncultured bacterium
Lineage: Bacteria
Description: bacterial SSU rRNA
Rfam family: Bacterial small subunit ribosomal RNA
Source: RNAcentral